Molecule: ribosomal RNA, 301 nt
Filed under: uncultured bacterium
Lineage: Bacteria
Description: partial 16S ribosomal RNA
Rfam family: Bacterial small subunit ribosomal RNA
Source: RNAcentral
CAGUCGCCGCGGUAAUACGUAGGUGGCAAGCGUUGUCCGGAAUUAUUGGGCGUAAAGGGCUCGCAGGCGGUUUCUUAAGUCUGAUGUGAAAGCCCCCGGCUCAACCGGGGAGGGUCAUUGGAAACUGGGAAACUUGAGUGCGGAAGAGGAGAGUGGAAUUCCACGUGUAGCGGUGAAAUGCGUAGAGAUGUGGAGGAACACCAGUGGCGAAGGCGACUCUCUGGUCUGUAACUGACGCUGAGGAGCGAAAGCGUGGGGAGCGAACAGGAUUAGAUACCCGAGUAGUCCCUGUCUCUUAUAC